UCGGGAAUUUUGGGCAAUGGGCGAAAGCCUGACCCAGCAACGCCGCGUGAGGGAUGAAGUAUUUCGGUAUGUAAACCUCGAAAGAAUGGGAAGAAUAAAUGACGGUACCAUUUAUAAGCUCCGGCUAACUACGUGCCAGCAGCCGCGGUAAUAAGUAGGGAGCAAGCGUUGUUCGGAUUUACUGGGCGUAAAGGGCGCGUAGGCGGCGCGGUAAGUCACUUGUGAAAUCUCUGAGCUUAACUCAGAACGGCCAAGUGAUACUGCUGUGCUAGAGUGCGGAAGAGGCAACCGGAAUUCUUGGUGUAGCGGUGAAAUGCGUAGAUAUCAAGAGGAACACCUGAGGCGAAGGCGGGUUGCUGGGCCGACACUGACGCUGAUGCGCGAAAGCCAGGGGAGCAAACG
This 402-nucleotide ribosomal RNA is filed under the name uncultured bacterium. RNAcentral describes it as "bacterial SSU rRNA". It matches the Rfam family "Bacterial small subunit ribosomal RNA", at positions 355 to 774 of the family's 1533-position model. The record is from RNAcentral.